Molecule: long non-coding RNA, 2794 nt
Filed under: Citrus x clementina
Lineage: Eukaryota; Viridiplantae; Streptophyta; Magnoliopsida; Sapindales; Rutaceae
Description: Citrus clementina (C. clementina) long non-coding RNA (CCLE_LNC006550)
Source: RNAcentral
UAAGAAAUACUUUUUAUAGAGUGAAGUUCUGCAGCAAGAUGAUUGCUUAUUUUAUAAAUAAAAUUUGAGAUAAUUAAAAAAAGUAAAAUUCAAAAGGAAUGUUAAAAAGAUUUUAGAGGGGUGUUGAAAUUUCCAAUAAAAAAAAGUUUUUUUUUUUAAAUCCCACUACCCAAUGCCAACCCAACAAUAGUAGUCCAAUAAGUCAAUAAUACAAAUCAGUUUUCUACAAUUUUUUAAAAUUUUAAAUUAAUCAAAUGACAAAACCUAAAAUCUAAAAACAUGUUAGACACAUUUUAUUAUUUUAGCUUUACCAAAAAUAAAUUAUUUGAUAAAAAAUGUUUUGUAAUUUUGUUAUCUAUAAAAUAUAUUUAGUUUUAUCAACAUAUAUAGAGUCAUUCUUUCAUGCGAACAGACUAUUAAGCUAUGUUGUUUAAUAAGUUAGUGCAUGCACGGUAUUAAAUAAUGAGGUUUUAUAGUAAAUUUAACACUGACUCCAUUAAACCACAUGAUUUAAUAGUAUCUCCGCAUUAAUAAAUAAAAAAUGAGGGCACUCAUACUUGAGAAUUUCUAUAUAUAUACGCAUUAGUUUGCUGAGAAAGAAAGUGGAAGGUUAAUUUUAGAAUUGAAAUAGGUGUUACCGAAAAAAAAGGAUUUGUAAGAGCGAACAGCACAAAAAAUAAAUAAAUAAAUAAAAGGCUUCAGCCUAGUCCAUUCCAAUUGAGCUUUGGCCCAAUCUUCAAACCUUGAGCUCGGGCUCAAUGUUGUUGAGCUAAAUUAGGUCGCGCAUGGGCUCAAGCUUUCUCUAAAAGAAUAGCCUAGUCCUUAGUUCCCCAUAAAAUAAAAGUAAUAUAUAAAGGCAUGCUUAAAAAAUUCUAAGGCACCCCAAAUUCUACAUUAUAUUCUAUUCUCCAUAAAUUCUACUUUAUAAAAUUUGGGUGGUAAAGGAGUUGAUCUUUUACGUUCAUGAAUCUGGUUCAAUCUUUUCUCUUCGUCUUUAAAUGGAAAGGGCACAUUCGAAUAAUAGUGUGCUGGUAUAUGAUGAUAGAAGAAAGAUAAGAGAGGGAAUUUAAUUAGAAUGUUGACUUUAGUAAUUGCAGAGAUAGACUUUUUUUUUUAAAUUAAAAACCACCCUAGUGUAGGGGGUUAGGCCAGAUUCUCUUAUCUAUAGAUUAAUAAAAAGUAAAAAGAAAUACAAAUGGAGAGUCAUAUAGACCAAAACUUCCAAGAUAGAUAACAACACAACUAACAAAUGCAAAAAUAGAAAAAGCACUAAAAAAACAAAUAGGAACCUAAAGAGAACAAGCUAAUGCAAAUGCUUAGAGAGCCAAUACUUCCUGCUAGUGACUAAUUUGAAACCCUUCCUAGAACCAUAGGCAUAUGGGCCAACAACACUAAAGUCGGGGUCAAGUUCACACCCUCUAGUGCCCUUAGGCUCAGAUACAAAGUAAUCAUUAGCCACAAGAUCCCCAUCAGACUAAACUCCUUAUCUGAUUGAAAAAGGAUAUCUGUAGAAAGAGAAUUAAAAUCCACAGCCAAAGUACGAAUAUCAUCCACCAUAGAUCGAAAGAAAGUAAAACUGAUGGAUGCCCACUGAACACCCGGAUCAUCCAAGACAGGAGAAAGGGGAUUAACAUCCCCAACGGAUCCAUCAGCAUCUCUCAAAGCAGUAGAGUCCCUUAAACUAUUAUCAUCCCAAACUUUCAUAUCUGAACUAGACCUAUCAUUUGCAGGACCCUGAACAAUAGGAACAGGUGACCAAGCACCCAAAGAAACACCUUCCCUACCACUAGUCCAUAACGGCCGAACUUUCUCAGAUUGACCUUGGAUUGGAAUAGGCCCCUAUAAGAUGUUGUCUGUUGUACUCACAGAUUGCAUAACACACACAUGAGGUUGUAUAUUAGCAUGAAACAUAGGCAUCAUACCUUUAUCGCCAACAACAUUAUCGUGCACCUCACCAGCUGGCUUCUAGGGCUUUUGGAGCCCAGGAUUGGUAACUAAACAGUCAUCAACGAAGUGCCUAAGAUACUUACACAAAGUAUAAUAUGAAGGAAUACGUUAAAAAAUGAUAGCCUGCCAAAAUCCAUCAUCACCCUCACCAAUCCAAAGCCUGGGCAGUAACGGCCAUGAAACAUCAUACUUAAUCCAAACUCUAACAAUUGAGGGCCUAUUAAAAGUAGGACUAGAAUGGUCCACUUGCAAGGGCUUACCAAUAGCAUUAGCAAUAGAAAAUGAGGCAUCUUCGCAAUGAAUAAAAUGCAUUGGCAAAUAAGGCAAAGAAUAUUAAAAGUAGCACUAAAAUGCAUUGGCAAAAUGAGGAAUAAUGGGAGAUUCCUGACACAAUUUAAAAGUAAUUUUUAACUCUCAAGUAUGAGAGUGUCUUGUUGUAUUAUAGCUCGGUGAGUCUGAGGUUGAUCCAUAGAAAAAAGAUUUAAUUUUUUAUUAUUUUAUUUUAUCUAAAAAUUGAAAAUUAAACUUAAAUAUAAACAACUUAAUUUAAAUAAAACUAUGAAAUUGAAUUAGUUAGGGUUGUAGAUCCACUCUUAGUAAUAAAUAAGACUUAAUAAAUUCUUUUUGCUAUUUUUUAGAUUUAUCGCCUGAAAAAUUAGUUAUAUAAAUCAUUAUUAUUUUCUCUUUAAUUUUAUGAUGGAUUAAGUAUUUAUUGUGCCAAAAUUUAAUUUAUCUACAAUAAGUCAAAAUACCAUUUUACCAUACCUUAUAUUGAGAUAUUAAGAAUUUAUUGUGCCAAACUCCCUUAUUUGUCUACAAUAAAUCAAAAUUUCAAAAUAUAAAAUGU